UACGUAGGGAGCAAGCGUUGUCCGGAUUUACUGGGUGUAAAGGGUGCGUAGGCGGGAACACAAGUCAGGCGUGAAAUACCGGGGCUCAACUCCGGGGCUGCGCUUGAAACUGUGUUUCUUGAGUGAAGUAGAGGCAGGCGGAAUUCCUAGUGUAGCGGUGGAAUGCGUAGAUAUUAGGAGGAACACCAGUGGCGAAAGCGGCUCUCUGGCCUGUAACUGACACUGAGGCUCGAAAGCGUGGGGAGCAAACAGG
Molecule: ribosomal RNA, 253 nt
Filed under: uncultured bacterium
Lineage: Bacteria
Description: partial 16S ribosomal RNA
Rfam family: Bacterial small subunit ribosomal RNA
Source: RNAcentral